RNAcentral lists this long non-coding RNA (434 nucleotides) under Lactuca sativa (garden lettuce). RNAcentral describes it as "long non-coding RNA (LSAT_LNC009612)". Lineage: Eukaryota; Viridiplantae; Streptophyta; Magnoliopsida; Asterales; Asteraceae. The record is from RNAcentral.
AAUUACGAUUAAGCAUCGAGUUCCCUAUGCCACCCUAAAACCACCACAACCACAGUACCACAUCGUAAUCCCUGCAAGGAACGAUGAACCCACCUGAAGGCCAUCAAUUUGAAAAAAAAUACCUUUGAUUUCGAAUUAUUUGAGCAAAAUCGAAAUAGAAAGCAAAAUGACGUGGAAGAGGGCGACACUAUAUAGAAGGGAAAUAAGGGAUCAAACAUGUUGGAAUCAAUGAAACCUACAAAUUGUAGUAGGACAUUUAGGGUUUCCUGUGAAACCAAAAUCAACAUACCUGCUAUCAUGGACAAAGGGACUCAUGGUGAUUUCUAUGAUGCUACAUCAAGUGAUGGUAGAGGGGCCAUGUCUUCAACAUAAAUGCAAAUGUUUGCUGAGAUAGGGGCGGCGUAGGGGGUGGUGAGCUUUUUCUGAAGUCCUUU